Molecule: ribosomal RNA, 253 nt
Filed under: uncultured bacterium
Lineage: Bacteria
Description: partial 16S ribosomal RNA
Rfam family: Bacterial small subunit ribosomal RNA
Source: RNAcentral
UACGUAGGGUGCAAGCGUUGUCCGGAAUUAUUGGGCGUAAAGAGCUCGUAGGCGGUUUGUCGCGUCGGCUGUGAAAACUCGGGGCUCAACCCCGAGCCUGCAGUCGAUACGGGCAGACUAGAGUGCUGUAGGGGAGACUGGAAUUCCUGGUGUAGCGGUGAAAUGCGCAGAUAUCAGGAGGAACACCGGUGGCGAAGGCGGGUCUCUGGGCCGUUACUGACGCUGAGGAACGAAAGCGUGGGGAGCGAACAGG